Molecule: long non-coding RNA, 8780 nt
Filed under: Heterocephalus glaber (naked mole-rat)
Lineage: Eukaryota; Metazoa; Chordata; Mammalia; Rodentia; Bathyergidae
Description: lncRNA (ENSHGLG00000042922.1)
Source: RNAcentral
AGGUGAUGCUGAUUUCCAGGAAUGAAUUUGGGAGUAUUGCUUCCCUUUCAAUUUCAUUGAAGAGUUUAAACACUAGUGGCAAUAGUUACUCUCUAAAUGUCUUGUAGAAUUCAGCAGUGAUGGCUUCAGAGCCAGGGCUUGUCUUAGUUGGUAAGUUUUAAAUCAUUGGUUGAUAUUGGGUUAAUCUCAUUGAUUGAUAUUGGGUUGUUUAGAAUUUUUAGGUCUUCUUCGUUCAACUUUGGUAAUUCAUAUGUAUCUAGGAAUCUGUCCAUUUCUUCUGUGUUUUCCAUCUUAUUGGCGCAUAGGUUCUUGAAGUAUGUAUUAAUGAUCAUGUGGAUUUCUGCUGGGUCUGUUGUAAUUUCACCCUUUUCAUUUGUAAUUGCAUGGAUUUGGGCCUUUUCUUUCCUUUUUCUGAUAAGGUUGGCUAAGGGUUUGUCAAUUUUGUUGAUUCUUUUGAAGAACCAACUCUUGGCUUCAUUGAUUUUUUGUAUUGUUCUCUUAGUCUCCAUUGCAUUGAUUUCUCCUCUGAUCUUUAUAAUUUCCUCCCUUGUAUGAGCUUUGGGGUUGUCCUGCUCUUCUUUUUCUAGAAGCUUGAGGUGCAGCAUCAGGUUGUUUAAUUGGGCUCGUUCUGUUUUCCUAAUAUGUGCAUUAACUGCUAUGAAUUUCCCUUGUAAGACUGCUUUCAUUGUGUCCUAUAGAUUCUGAUAUGUUGUAUUGUCAUUGUCAUUUAAUUGAAGGAACUGUCUGAUUUCUUCUUUAAUUUCCUCUGUGAUCCGUUGGUUAUUCAGAAGUUUGUUUUUCAAUUUCCAUGUGUUUAUGAAAUUUUUUGAGUUUCUUUUGCUGUUGAUCUCCAAUUUCAUGGCACUAUGGUCUGGUAAUAUACAGGGGAUAACUUCAAUUCCUUUGCACUUACUUAAACAUGUUCUUUGUGUGAGUAUGUGGUCUGUUUUGGAGAAUGACCCAUGUGUAACUGAGAAGAAUGUGUAUUCUGAAUUUGUGGGGUGGAAGACUCUGUAAACAUCUGUUAUGUUCAUUUGUUCAAGAGUUUGAUUGAGUUCCAGUAUUUCAUUACUUAUUUUUUGUCUAGUUGGUCUAUCUAUUUGUGACUGUGGGGUGUUCAGAUCCCCCACUACAAUUGUAUUAGUGCCUAUAUGACUUUUCAUGUCCAUUAGUAUUUGUUUUAUAUAGUUGGGUGCACUAGUGUUUGGUGCAUAGAUAUUUAUGAUUGUCAUCUCUUCCUCUUGGAUUGUUCCAUUUAUAAGGAUGUAGUGCCCUUCUUUGUCUCUCUUAAUCAGUGUUGGUUUGAAAUCUACUUGAUCUGCCAAGAGGAUAGCUACUUCUGCUUUUUUUUUUGGUUCCUGUCACAUGGAGAAUUGUUUCCCAGCCUUUCACUUUCAGUCUAUGAGUUUCCUUUUGAAUUAAGUGUGUUUCUUGUAUGCAGCAUAUUGUUGGAUUUUGCUUCUUGAUCCAUUCUGCCAGUCUAUUUCUUUUGAUUGGUGAAUUGAGACCAUUAACAUUGAUGGUUAUAACUGAAACGUAUUGACUUGUCAUUGCCAUGACUUUUUCUUUUUGUUGGGUUCUCCCCCUUUACAUUGAAUUUCUUGUCAUGCCAGAUGGGUUCAUUCUGCUUUGCUUCCUGGGGUUAUGAUCCUCAAUGUCUGUUCCUAAGAUAUUGUGUAAAAUUCUUUGGAGUGUUGGUUUGGUAUUCAUUAAGUUCCUAAGGUGCUCUUUGUCAUGAAAGAAUCUUAUUUCUCCAUCCAUUUUGAAAGCUAGUUUUGCAGGGUACAUCAAUCUGGUUUGGGGGCUGUUUUCUUUUAGGGCUUGGAAUAUGUCACUCCAAGCUCUUCUUGCCUUGAUGGAUUGUGUUGAGAAGUCUUCUGUGAUUCUAAUGGACUUUCCUUUGUAUGUGAUUUGUUUCUUUUCUCUGACUGCUUGUAGAACUUUGUUCUUCUAUUGAGUUUCCCGGAAUCUUAACAAUUAUAUGCUGAUGUAUAUAUAUAUAUUUUUUUGAUCAAGGCUAUUUGGAGUCCUAUAUGCCUCACUUAUCUGUAUGUCAAGUUCCUUUCCCCUGCUUGGGAAUUUUUCUGCCAUUACUUCUCGGAAGUUUUUUUUAUGUCAUCUGCACUCUUUUCUAUUUCUUUAUUGUCUCCAGUCAGUCUUAUGUUAUUCUUCUUUGCAUCAUCUAACAGCUGCCGGAUUGAUUUCUCGUGUUCCCUUAUAAUUUUGAAACAAUUUUUCUUUUCCUGGUCAUUAAUUGUGAUCUUAUCUUCUAUAUCUGAAAUUCUGUCCUCACAUUGGCUCAUUCUACUGUGUAGACUUUCAAUGGAGUUUUUCAUGUCCUGGAAAUCUAUUUGCAUCUGUUUUGUGGAUUCCAUUUGUUUCCUAUGUUGGGCGCCCAUCAUAUUCCUGAGCUCCUCUCUAGAUUUAUUAAUCCUGUCUUGCAGUAGGAGCACAAUUUCUUCUGUUAUCUGAGAAAUUAUUUCUCAUUUCAUUUUUUCCAUAUCCCCUUUUGUUGCCCAUUCAGGGCAUCCAGGUGGUUGAGUAUCAGAGUGUUCCAUCUCAUUUCCCUUUGGGGUUGCUGUAGGUGAUCUGGAAGUCUGUUUUUGAGACUUAUUUAUGUGUUUUCUCAUUUCGACAGGGGGGGCAGGGGGGCUGCUGUUGGCAUCCACCCCAGUCACCUCCUCUGAGCUGGAAGAGGUGGGAUAGGGGCCGGAAGCGGUGGUAGGGAUGGCGGCCCAUAAGCCCCUUACUCUGGGCCUGGAGUGGCAGGAUGUUUGGCGGCCUGGAAGCCCCUACCUCUGGGCCAGGAGCAGUGGGACGGAUGGCAGCCCAAAAGCCCUUUUCUCUGGGCUGGGUGUGGCAGGAGGGAUGGUGGAUGGGCAACACCUUCCUCUGGACAAGGAGCAAUGGGACAGUGGGUCAGAAGCCCCUACCUCUGGGCAGCAAUUCUUUAAAUGUUGAGAAAUUGAUUAGCUCCAGUACAGUGCUCUGGUGGUCUGGUGUCCUGUGUGUCUUUGUAGUGUUAAACCAGGUGGCUGUAUGGAGAAGAGGCCAAAGAAGCAGGCGGGGUUCCAGUGGAUUGCUGCCAGGGAUCCAGUGUUUUUAGCAUGACUGGUGACCUUGGGGACAUGUCCGCAGACCUGCCUGUCUGCAGCGGGCUGAUUUGGUGUUUUCAGCGUGACUGGAGACCUUGGGUGUCAAUUUUAUUUAAUCUUUCUUUCUUUUUUUUUCAGUGCUGGGGAUCGAACUCAGGUCCUUGAGCUUGUGAGGCAGGCAGUGGAACCACUGAGCUAAAUCCCUGGCCCUAUUUAAUCUUUCAAAGAACCAACUGUUUGAUUCAUUGAUUCUUUGUGUUUUACUUUUAGUCUUUAUUGGAUUAAUUUCUGCCCUGAUUUUUAUAAUUUCCUCCCUCACAUGAGCUUUGGGCUUUAUUUGCUCUUCUUUUUCUAGAAACUCGAGGUUCAACAUUAGGUAUUUGAGCCCACUGUUUUCCUGAUAUGAGUAUUCACCACUAUAUUUUUCCCUUGUAGGACUGCUUUCAUUGCAUCCCAUAAGUUCUGGUAUUUUGCAUUGUCAUUAUCGUUAAUUGUAGAAACUGUCUGAUUUCUUCUUUAAUUUCACCUGUGACCCAUUGGCUUUUUCAGGAGGGUGUUAUUUAAUUUAAAUCUGUUUAUGAAGUUCUUGUGGUUUGUUUUGCCAUUGAUUUCCAAUUUCAUUUCACUAUAGUCUGAUAAUAUGCAUGAGAUAAUUUCAAUUCCUUUGCAUUUACUUAAGCAUGUUCUGUUCACUAGUGUGUUGUCUAUUUUGGAGAACGUAUCCUGUGUAGCUGACAAGAAGUGUAUUCUGAUGUUGUGGAAUGGAACACUCUGUAGCCAUCUACUAGAUCCUUUUGUUCAAAAGUUUGGUUCUGUUCCAAUAUUUCUUUGUUCAUUUUUUAUCUUGUUGACCUGUUUGUGACAGUGGGGUACUGAGGUCCCCUAGUAUAACUGUAUUAGUACUUAUAUGAUUUUUCAUGUCUGUUAAUAUUUGUUUUAUAUCGUUGAGUGCACUGAUAAUUUGUGCACACAUGUUUAGGAUUGUUAUCUCUUCCUUAUGGAUUGUUCCCUUUACCAGGAUGUAGUGACCUUCUUUGUCUCUCUUAAUUAGUCUUGGCUUGACAUCCACUUUAUCUGCAAAUAGAAUAGCUACCCCUGCUUUUUUCCUGGUUCCUGUCAUAUCGAAUAUUGUUUUCCAUCCUUUGACUUUCAGUCUAUGAAUUUGUUUCUGAAUUAAAUGUGUUUCUUGCAUGCAGCAUAUUGUUGGAGCUUGCUUCUUGAACCAGCCUCCAAUUCUGUUUCUUUUGAUUGGGGAAUUGCGAUCAUUAACAUUGGUAGUUAUAACUGAUAUGUAUUGUCUUAUCUCUGUCAUGUCAUUUUCCUCUUGUUGGUUUCCUUCUUUCCUUUUCUCCUUAAUUUCUUGCCUUGCCUGGGAUUAAUUCUGUUGAAAUUCAUGGAGUUGUAAUCCUUGUUUUCUCUUUCUAGAAUAUCCUUCAGAACACUUUGUAGUGCUGGUUUGGUGUUCAUGAAUUUCUCCAGAUGUUCUUUGUCAUGGAAAUAUCUUAUUUCUCCAUCAAGUUUAAAAGAUAAUUUUGCAGGGUACCUUGAGGUUGUUUUCUUUUAGGGCUUGAAACUCCUUCUAAACUCUCCUUGACUUGAGAGUUUGUAUGAGAAAUCUGCUGUAAUUUAGCUAUGCUUUCUUUUAUAGGUGAUUUGUUUGUGUUCUUUAAUAGCUUUUAAUAUUCUGUCCAUAUGUUGAAUUUCUGGAAUCUUGACUAUUAUAUGCCUUGGAGAAGAUUUUUUUUAAAAAAUCAUGGCUAAUUGGAAUCCUAUGUGCCUCACUUAUCUUUAUGUGAAAUUCCAUUCCCUGUUUGGGAAGUUUUCUGCCAUUACUUCUGAAAACAGGUUUUUUAUGUCAUUUGUGCUAUCUCAUGCUUUUUCAUGGACUCCGAUCAAUCUUGUUAUUCUUUCUUUUUUCUUUUGCAUUAUCUAGCAGGUGUUGGAUAAAUUUCUCAUAGUCCCUUGCUAUUUUUAAGAAAUCUCUCUUUUCAUGAUUGCUAACUGCAAUCUAGUCUUCUAUAUCUGAUAUUCUGUCCUCAUACUGGCUCAUUCUGCUGUGUAUACUUUCAAUGGAGUUUUUGAUCCUGGAUAUGUUUGAAUCUGUUUCAUGUCUUCCAUUUCUUUCCUAUGCUGGGAAUUCAUGGUUUCCAUCAUGUUCCUGAGCUUCUCUACUUUUAAAAAAAAUCUGUGUCUGCUGUAAAGUCACUAAGCAUAUCUUUCAUUCUUGUCACUAUCUUCAUAGUUAUGUGGGAAAUUAUUUCUGCUUUAAUUUUUUUUCUAGAGCCUCAUUCAUCUUCUGUGCUACUUCUGCUGUUACCACUUCAGAGAAUCUAGGUGAGUGGCUUUUGGAUAGCUUCACCUCAUUUACCCCAGGAUUUGCCUUUGGUGAGCUCAAAGUCUGUGGGGGUUGUAUUUUGUUUAAGUGUCUUCUUGUUUUCUUUAAGUUUCAUUUCUGGGUUGAUGCUUUUAAAUUGCUUAUGGUGAGUAGCUUUAUUGCCAGUAUUCAGAACUCUUAGGAAAUGACUACUUCUCAGACAUGUCUUCCAGGUGUAGCUGGCUUUUUGGUUUUGAGUCUGUUACAAGGUCCUUCCUCUUCAAUUCAUUGAGGAUGAUAAGUUUCUGCCUACUUGGCCCACCUGCCAGUUCUUUGGCAUUGGCCUAUAGAUUUUAUUUUUUAAGAUCCUUAGGCAAUCUCAGUCUUGGUAUACCAUGAGGGACAACUGAUUAGCACAUUUCUGCCACCUUGGCUAAAGUAGAACAAUCAGCAAUAAUGACAACAUCAAAUACAGCCUGGAAAAUGACAAACUGUGGUAACUAUUAAUUUGUUACCUUAACCAUAUGAACAAGAUUUGUGGUUCUAUAGUGAAAUCUAGAAUGAAUCUGAAAAUUGUAUGCAAUAAAUAAGCCCUUAAUAUGGCAAUUGUACCCUUAGGGGAGAAGGAUUAGAAGGGGUUAGGGGUAAAAACUGGAAUUAGAAGAAGAGGAAGAUAUGAUAAGCAAGGCUGGAGGACAAACUUUAGUAAACUGGUGAGGAAGACAUGUGAAGAAGAGAAAAGAAAAAAAUAAAAACAAGAGCAGAACAGAACAACAACAAAAAACUAUAAACUGUGAUCAAACAAUUAAGAAAAAACAAUAUAAAACAAGAACGAGAAAGGAGAAAAAAAGAAAGAAAAAAGAAAAGGAAAAAGAAAAAACAUGAAAACAAAAAAAAGAUCCAAAAACAACAAAUUCAAGGUGUGUCUCUGUUGUCACUAGUAGGCAGCACAGGUAAACAGAGUCCAGAGUCAAACUGAUUAAUCCCAGCAAAUCAGCCACAGAAUCAGAGUGGGACAUUGCUUAUCCCAGCCAGCCUGCCCCUUUAGUUCUUCUGAAGUUCAGGCUGGUUUCUGGCUAUAAGGCUGGAACUGGAUUCCUUGAGCCUAUGAGUCUAUGUGUCACCUGCCAGCUUGAAUUCUGCUCCUUGACCUCCUGCUGACUUGAACUCAGCACCUGCACUGAGGUACCUGAAGCUGCUAGAUGGAGCUGGCCUGCAGCUGUUCUGAGUUCCAAGCUUAGUUGGUUCCUCUUCAAGAUGGCUACUGGUCAAUUGCCCUCUCCUGGGUGACAUCUAAACUGGGAUAACUCACCAGCCACUGCAGUCCACUGUGUCCACAGCUCUGUUCCACUCGUAUAUUUCUCAGUGGGUUGCCAGUAGUCACCAUGAGUCUGCAAGUUUGGUCUACAAUAAAGUCUGGGCUCGGGGAGAAAGUACUGCUUGCUACCUUCCUCCUCUUUGUUAAAGUCCCUCUCUUUGCUUUCCCUGUGGACUUCAGUUUUUGCCUCAGAUCCUUCCUGUGUCCUAGGGACCCACUUUCCACUUUCUUGUCCUCCUUGUACCAUUAUAUUCCAGUGUCAGGACACUAAAUCUUGGAGAGGUUCUUUCUCUGGUCACCACCCUGCCAUCUUCACAGAAGUAUAUAAAGGAAAUAUUAUAACUCCCAACCUGCUAGAUGUCUGAACACUGAGUUCAUAUUCUCUGAAAUCAAAGAAUGAAGCCUAGGAACACUGGAGGUUAAGAGUGGGAAGAAUUUAUUAAGAGAAAGAUAGCUUCUGUCUAAGAGAUACAGAAGGGGGCCAGAAAGUGCGUUGCCUGUGGACCAUGCUUCUUGAGGGAGUUUUAUAUAAAAAAAAAACCAUGAUGUGAGGUAGGUAUAAGGUAGGACCAAACCAUAGUGAACUGGUAAGGUUACAAGUAUAGUUGCUUAGGUAAUAUUGAUUAAAUGGGGAUCAAAUGGGGAAGCAAGUCAUGUAGCAAGCAUACAUGGACCAAAUAAGGAUUUUGCCAGGAAGGAGUGGGUUAAGUUCUUGGUCCCCCACCUAAGUGAGUGAUGCCUAUUUAGAAUAUCAAUCACUCCUGUUCAUCCUUAGGGAAAGUAUGUGGGUAUACUCAAUUAUCUUUGUCCUUAAGCCUGGCCUUUAAGUAAUGCAUGUCCAGCCACAAUUGUCUUCUACACUAACUUCUUCGAGGGCCUAUCCCUGUCUGACUGCCUAUAAUAUUUCUAACUAACUUAGCUGUCUACAAUACUUGUACAAUUUCUUCUUUCAUCCAGUCUGUGCAUAAAAGAUCAGAGCUAGAGAUUCCUGGUUGAUAGCUGUAUGCUUUCUGCUUCUAACUACUCCUGUUGAAAGCUUUGUGAUGGUUCUACUGGAGGAAACUUUCUGUCUGAAAUUCCACAGAGCAGUCACCCAACCCCAAGACUAAACAGGUCCAGAGAAUGCCAAGUUGCUUCACAAAGGCUUCCUCACCCUGGGCUUUUUGCCUGGCUGGUUCACUGCCUGAUAAGGCAGAAGGGAAUGAAUGACUGGAGAUGGAGGCCUUGUUGAGGGCUCCAUAACACAAAGACCCUCCUCAGCUUUGGUCUUGCAUCCAUUGUUCUCUCACACUCUGCUCACAGCCCUUGAGGAUACCAUUACGAGAGGAAAAUGCCACUCAACAGUGCUAAAUAUAAGAAGGGAAACAAAAACCUAGCCUGCCAGUGGGAAGAUGGGAGGACUAGUAUCAGUGUUUCCCAUGCCCUUUACUUCUGUAAGGCUUCCCUCACUUCUCACAGUGACCAGGAAAACCUGAAUUGUGAGCAUUUUUAUAUUUUCUUUCUCAAAUAGAGAAGUCAGAGGUUUUAAUAUUGCAUGAAAAAUGGUGGAAUUGCUUUCUUGUAAGCAUCCCCUGACAGAAAGUCUAAUUUCAUGGAACCCUGAAGAUUUUAGCUCUCAAUAUCUUUGAGCUAAUCUCGUAUUUUCUGGUACAGACUCACAUGGUCUGGGGAAGCCAUAGGUCUCACCCAAAUCACCUGGGUGAGGAAUUGCUAGGAAGAUGGGUCAGGUAGGUACUAGGCAGGAGUCAGGCCACUGAGUCUUCUGGACAUCAAAUGUCACACACUUAUAAAUUAUGUUUCUAGGAAUUUUACAAAGAAGGGAUGGACAAUAAUUCCUAAAAUAUAGGCUCUGUGAAAUAUGUGGUGGCCCUGAGGGAGUACCUAGUAGCUGUGAAGGAAAGCCCAGGAAAGGAACACUUAGAGGGGCCCCUACCCAACCCAAGACUUUGCCCUCAUUUCAGAGGGCGUGGUUACAGCCCACUAAAUGGCAGAGGAACUCCUGGGUCCCUGGACCCUCUAGUCUGAAAGGACAGGGCUGCCAGGCUCUGAGGAC